GAGAACACGUUGAUAUUCCUGUACCACAUAUAAACGUUUUAAUAGAUGGGGGGACGCACUAGGUUAGGCGAAGCGUGCGAUUGGGUUGCACGUCUAAGCAGUAAGGCUGAGUAUUAGGCAAAUCCGGUACUCGUUAAGGCUGAGCUGUGAUGGGGAGAAGACAUUGUGUCUUCGAGUCGUUGAUUUCACACUGCCGAGAAAAGCCUCUAGAUAGAAAAUAGGUGCCCGUACCGCAAACCGACACAGGUAGUCAAGAUGAGAAUUCUAAGGUGAGCGAGCGAACUCUCGUUAAGGAACUCGGCAAAAUGACCCCGUAACUUCGGGAGAAGGGGUGCUCUUUAGGGUUAACGCCCAGAAGAGCCGCAGUGAAUAGGCCCAAGCGACUGUUUAUCAAAAAC
RNAcentral lists this ribosomal RNA (398 nucleotides) under Escherichia coli. Its description in RNAcentral is "partial 23S ribosomal RNA". It matches the Rfam family "Bacterial large subunit ribosomal RNA", at positions 1421 to 1814 of the family's 2925-position model. Lineage: Bacteria; Pseudomonadati; Pseudomonadota; Gammaproteobacteria; Enterobacterales; Enterobacteriaceae. The record is from RNAcentral.